Molecule: ribosomal RNA, 253 nt
Filed under: uncultured bacterium
Lineage: Bacteria
Description: partial 16S ribosomal RNA
Rfam family: Bacterial small subunit ribosomal RNA
Source: RNAcentral
UACGUAGGGAGCAAGCGUUGUCCGGAAUCAUUGGGCGUAAAGCGCGCGUAGGUGGUCCCGUAAGUCCGCUGUGAAAGUCAAAGGCUCAACCUUUGAAAGCCGGUGGAUACUGUGGGACUAGAGUACGGAAGAGGCGAGUGGAAUUCCUGGUGUAGCGGUGGAAUGCGCAGAUAUCAGGAGGAACACCAACGGCGAAGGCAGCCCGCUGGGACGGUACUGACGCUAAGGCGCGAAAGCGUGGGGAGCGAACAGG